RNAcentral lists this ribosomal RNA (460 nucleotides) under uncultured bacterium. Its description in RNAcentral is "partial 16S ribosomal RNA". It matches the Rfam family "Bacterial small subunit ribosomal RNA", at positions 338 to 795 of the family's 1533-position model. The record is from RNAcentral.
CCUACGGGUGGCAGCAGUGAGGAAUAUUCGUCAAUGGACGCAAGUCUGACCCAGCCACGUAGCGUGAAGGAUGACUGCCCUAUGGUUGGUAAACUUCUUUUAUAGGGGAAUACAAUGUCUAACGUGUGGGAUAUUGUAUGUACCAUAUCUAUAAGGAUAGGCUAACUCGGUGCCGGCAGCGGCGGUAAUACGGAGGAUCCGAGGGUUACCCGGAUUUAUUGGGUUUAAAGGGAGCGUAGCUGGUUUGUUAAGUCAGUUGUGAAAGUUUCCGGCUCAACCGAACAAUGGCAGUGGAAACUGGGAGUCUUGAGUGCAGUAGAGGAGAGCGGAAUUCGAGGUGUAGCGGUGAAAUGCUUAGAUAUAAGGAAGAACUCCGAUUGCGAAGGCAGCUCACUGGUCUGUAACUGACACUGAGGCUCGAAAGUGUGGGUAGCAAACAGGAUUAGAUACCCGUGUAGUC